CAGUAGGGAAUCUUCCGCAAUGGACGAAAGUCUGACGGAGCAACGCCGCGUGAACGAUGAAGGCUUUCGGGUCGUAAAGUUCUGUUGUUAGGGAAGAACAAGUAYCGGAGUAACUGCCGGUACCUUGACGGUACCUAACCAGAAAGCCACGGCUAACUACGUGCCAGCAGCCGCGGUAAUACGUAGGUGGCAAGCGUUGUCCGGAAUUAUUGGGCGUAAAGCGCGCGCAGGCGGUUCCUUAAGUCUGAUGUGAAAGCCCCCGGCUCAACCGGGGAGGGUCAUUGGAAACUGGGGAACUUGAGUGCAGAAGAGGAGAGCGGAAUUCCACGUGUAGCGGUGAAAUGCGUAGAGAUGUGGAGGAACACCAGUGGCGAAGGCGGCUCUCUGGUCUGUAACUGACGCUGAGGCGCGAAAGCGUGGGGAGCGAACAGGAUUAGAUACCCUGGUAGUCCACGCCGUAAACGAUGAGUGCUAAGUGUUAGAGGGUUUCCGCCCUUUAGUGCUGCAGCAAACGCAUUAAGCACUCCGCCUGGGGAGUACGGCCGCAAGGCUGAAACUCAAAGGAAUUGACGGGGGCCCGCACAAGCGGUGGAGCAUGUGGUUUAAUUYGAAGCAACGCGAAGAACCUUACCAGGUCCUUGACAUCCUCUGACAACCCUAGAGA
This 664-nucleotide ribosomal RNA is filed under the name Bacillus sp. (in: firmicutes). RNAcentral's name for it is "bacterial SSU rRNA". It matches the Rfam family "Bacterial small subunit ribosomal RNA", at positions 352 to 1006 of the family's 1533-position model. The record is from RNAcentral. Lineage: Bacteria; Bacillati; Bacillota; Bacilli; Caryophanales; Bacillaceae.